GGACGAACGCUGGCGGCGUGCUUAACACAUGCAAGUCGAACGGAAAGGCCCUGCUUUUGUGGGGUGCUCGAGUGGCGAACGGGUGAGUAACACGUGAGUAACCUGCCCUUGACUUUGGGAUAACUUCAGGAAACUGGGGCUAAUACCGGAUAGGAGCUCCUGCUGCAUGGUGGGGGUUGGAAAGUUUCGGCGGUUGGGGAUGGACUCGCGGCUUAUCAGCUUGUUGGUGGGGUAGUGGCUUACCAAGGCUUUGACGGGUAGCCGGCCUGAGAGGGUGACCGGCCACAUUGGGACUGAGAUACGGCCCAGACUCCUACGGGAGGCAGCAGUGGGGAAUAUUGCACAAUGGGCGGAAGCCUGAUGCAGCAACGCCGCGUGCGGGAUGACGGCCUUCGGGUUGUAAACCGCUUUCGCCUGUGACGAAGCGUGAGUGACGGUAAUGGGUAAAGAAGCACCGGCUGACUACGUG
This 469-nucleotide ribosomal RNA is filed under the name uncultured bacterium. RNAcentral's name for it is "partial 16S ribosomal RNA". It matches the Rfam family "Bacterial small subunit ribosomal RNA", at positions 27 to 507 of the family's 1533-position model. The record is from RNAcentral.